UAAAAAAUAGGUCUCAGUUCGGAUCGUAGGCUGCAACCCGCCUGCGUGAAGUUGGAAUUGCUAGUAAUCGCGGAUCAGCAUGCCGCGGUGAAUACGUUCCCGGGCCUUGUACACACCGCCCGUCACACCAUGGGAGCCGGUAAUGCCCGAAGUCAGUAGCCUAACCGCAAGGAGGGCGCUGCCGAAGGUAGGAUUGGCGACUGGGGUGAAGUCGUAACAAGGUAAC
RNAcentral lists this ribosomal RNA (226 nucleotides) under uncultured bacterium. Its description in RNAcentral is "partial 16S ribosomal RNA". It matches the Rfam family "Bacterial small subunit ribosomal RNA", at positions 1275 to 1500 of the family's 1533-position model. The record is from RNAcentral.